Molecule: ribosomal RNA, 397 nt
Filed under: uncultured bacterium
Lineage: Bacteria
Description: partial 16S ribosomal RNA
Rfam family: Bacterial small subunit ribosomal RNA
Source: RNAcentral
AUACGUAGGGGGAGAGCGUUGUCCGGAAUGAUUGGGCGUAAAGGGCGCGUAGGCGGAUUUGCAAGUCAGUAGUGGAAGUCCAUUUUUCAAGGAUGGAAGUGCUACAGACACUGCGGAGCUUGAGUGCAGGAGAGGUUCUCGGAAUUCCCGGUGUAGCGGAGAAAUGCGUAGAGAUCGGGAGGAACACCAGUGGCGAAGGCGGGUAGCUGGACUGCAACUGACGCUGAAGCGCGAAAGUGUGGGGAGCAAACAGGAUUAGAUACCCUGGUAGUCCACACUGUAAACGAUGAAUGCUAGGUGUAGUAGGUAUCGACCCCUUCUGUGCCGCAGUAAACACAGUAAGCAGUCCGCCUGGGGAGUACGGUCGCAAGAUUAAAACUCAAAUGAAUUGGCGGGG